GACGAACGCUUGCGGCGUGCCUAAGAAAUGCAAGUCGAGCGGAAGCAGCAAUGCUUUAGCGGCGAACGGUCGCGUAACACGUAAGCAACCUGCCCCGAAGACCGGGACAACGCUUCGAAAGAGGCGCUAAUACCGGAUGUGACCCUAAUGCGACCUCGCGUUGGGAUUAAAACCUCGCAAGGGGGCUUCGGGAGGGGCUUGCGGCCUAUCAGCUAGUUGGGGAGGUAGUGGCUCACCAAGGCGACGACGGGUAGCUGGUCUGAGAGGAUGGUCAGCCGGACUGGGACUGGGAUACGGCCCAGACUCCUACGGGGGCAGCAAUUAGGAAUCUUGCGCAAUGGGCGAAAGCCUGACGCAGCGACGCCGCGUGGAGGAGGACGGCCU
Molecule: ribosomal RNA, 384 nt
Filed under: uncultured bacterium
Lineage: Bacteria
Description: bacterial SSU rRNA
Rfam family: Bacterial small subunit ribosomal RNA
Source: RNAcentral